UGAGACACGGACCAGACUCCUACGGGAGGCAGCAGUGAGGAAUAUUGGACAAUGGAGGAGACUCUGAUCCAGCCAUGCCGCGUGCAGGAAGAAUGCCCUAUGGGUAGUAAACUGCUUUUAUACGGGAAGAAAAAGAGCUACGUGUAGCUUACUGACGGUACCGUAAGAAUAAGGACCGGCUAACUCCGUGCCAGCAGCCGCGGUAA
RNAcentral lists this ribosomal RNA (206 nucleotides) under uncultured eukaryote. Its description in RNAcentral is "partial Bacterial small subunit ribosomal RNA". It matches the Rfam family "Bacterial small subunit ribosomal RNA", at positions 320 to 523 of the family's 1533-position model. The record is from RNAcentral.